Molecule: ribosomal RNA, 254 nt
Filed under: uncultured bacterium
Lineage: Bacteria
Description: partial 16S ribosomal RNA
Rfam family: Bacterial small subunit ribosomal RNA
Source: RNAcentral
UACGUAGGUGGCAAGCGUUGUCCGGAAUUAUUGGGCGUAAAGCGCGCGCAGGCGGCCUCUUAAGUCUGAUGUGAAAGCCCCCGGCUCAACCGGGGAGGGCCAUUGGAAACUGGGAGGCUUGAGUAUAGGAGAGAAGAGUGGAAUUCCACGUGUAGCGGUGAAAUGCGCAGAUAUCGGGAAGAACACCCGUGGCGAAGGCGGCUCUCUGGGACGGUACUGGACGCUGAGACGCGAAAGCGUGGGGAGCGAACAGG